GUGGGGAAUAUUGGACAAUGGGCGAAAGCCUGAUCCAGCCAUGCCGCGUGUGUGAAGAAGGUCUUCGGAUUGUAAAGCACUUUAAGUUGGGAGGAAGGGCAGUAAGUUAAUACCUUGCUGUUUUGACGUUACCGACAGAAUAAGCACCGGCUAACUUCGUGCCAGCAGCCGCGGUAAUACGAAGGGUGCAAGCGUUAAUCGGAAUUACUGGGCGUAAAGCGCGCGUAGGUGGUUUUGUAAGUUGGAGGUGACAUCCCCGGGCUCAACCUGGGAACUGCCUCCAAAACUGCAUGACUAGAGUACGGUAGAGGGUAGUGGAAUUUCCUGUGUAGCGGUGAAAUGCGUAGAUAUAGGAAGGAACACCAGUGGCGAAGGCGACUACCUGGACUGAUACUGACACUGAGGUGCGAAAGCGUGGGGAGCAAACAGGAUUAGAAACCCCGGUAGUCC
This 450-nucleotide ribosomal RNA is filed under the name uncultured bacterium. RNAcentral's name for it is "bacterial SSU rRNA". It matches the Rfam family "Bacterial small subunit ribosomal RNA", at positions 354 to 796 of the family's 1533-position model. The record is from RNAcentral.